AAACUGAAUAACAACACUCGGACUGCGCUGAGGCUGCGCAACAUUGACACGCAUAACUGCGGCUCGUUCUCAGAUAAGGAAGUGACUAAGGAGGUGAAAUUUUGAAAUUUGGCGGUAUUUCAGCGGAACAAACAGCCGCGAUGUCCAAACUAAGGAGAAAGAAAGCGGCGGCGGAGGAGAACAAACCCGGAGCGAAGUCGGGUUGCAGGGAUCUGCGGAAGAGUCUACUCAGUUCUGACGGAGACUCAUCCAGCACGAGCAGCGGGUCCAGCAGGCCCUGGUGGGCUGCAGCUGAUCUGGCAGCGGUGGAGAAACUGUGGGCGCUCACCCUGCAGGCCUUCUGUCCAGCAGUGUCCAGCACUCCUGCCAUGGUCUUCUGGGUUCCAGAGCUACCAGAGACCCCCACGUGGGCAGAGCAGGAGGAGCCGAGCGAGCGGCACUGGUGUUGUCUGGAUGAAGAUGUGAGUGAACUUCCUGCUCUAAGUGACUCACUGGGCUGCGUCCAAAUGCACAGUGAACCACACUUCUCUCCUAAUGAAGGGAACCGCCAGCCUGAAGCUUCAGCUCAGCUGCUGAGUGAAACGGGAGGUGAAUGGCAAACACUGAGCAGUCCUCAGCGCCACCUAGAGGACAUUCAGGCUCACUGUUUAGGAGAUGCAGGAUCGUUACACAGAUGGACCGAAAAGCCUGACUGGUCUGAGGGUGGAGAGUGUAAGCGGUAUGGGGACAGAGGCAGGUUACUGACGGGAACUCAAAAACCUGGAGGUGCGAAGGCGAGAGAGAGGAUCAAGCAUGGUUCCCAUGGCGACGGAGCUGAGAGCACAAAACUACAAGGGAGAAAGUUGGCAGGAAGAGAAUCUGAAAGAAAAUCCAGAGCGGAGUGUGAUAAAGCUGAAUCUGGGUCAUCUAAAUCCAGAACAGGAUCCGGAACGGGUUCCGAUGGUGCAGUAAGAGGAGGAUCUGGAUCCGCAGUUUUCCUCCUGGAGAACAACAGUGAGUGUAAAGCUGGGACAUCCAGAGGAGGAUCCGGAUCAGGAUUAGCAGAACCAAAGCUGGAGUGCUGUCCAAUGUGCCUGAUGCCGUUUCCUGCAGGGUGAGACUGUUUAUGCUAGUAGUUGAGCUAACAGUGCUAACACUGGUCAUAAUGA
This is a long non-coding RNA of Pygocentrus nattereri (red-bellied piranha), 1148 nucleotides long. The record is from Ensembl. NCBI's taxonomy places the organism in Eukaryota, Metazoa, Chordata, Actinopteri, Characiformes, Serrasalmidae.